AUUGAUAGGUUGCGAAAACUUGGUGGUAUUUAACUAAAAAAUCUUCUUAAGAAUAUAAUGGAAAGUAUGAUGUCAUACAAAGUUAUGAGUGCCUUUAAUAUGAAAGGCAAAAAUCGUAACGAGUAUGUAAGACAUAGAAAUGUGGAUAUCAAGGAGAAACAAAGUUUUCAGCAACUGAAGUUAUACGAGCUGAUAGUGAGUAAGUAAUUAACUUUGCAAUCUAAAAAAGGAUGAUUUUGUGUUGUCUUUUUGUUAUAUCAAUUUUAUUUUCUAACA
Non-coding RNA from Hydra vulgaris (swiftwater hydra), 276 nucleotides. NCBI's taxonomy places the organism in Eukaryota, Metazoa, Cnidaria, Hydrozoa, Anthoathecata, Hydridae. The record is from RefSeq and is a predicted model, not a curated record.